GGGCCGUUAGCUCAUCUGGUAGAGCGCUACAUUUGCAAUGUAGAGGUGGCCGGUUCGAGUCCGGCACGGUCCACCC
RNAcentral lists this transfer RNA (76 nucleotides) under Candidatus Collierbacteria bacterium RIFCSPHIGHO2_01_FULL_50_25. Its description in RNAcentral is "tRNA-Ala". It matches the Rfam family "tRNA". From Rfam's summary of the family: Transfer RNA (tRNA) molecules are approximately 80 nucleotides in length. Their secondary structure includes four short double-helical elements and three loops (D, anti-codon, and T loops). Further hydrogen bonds mediate the characteristic L-shaped molecular structure. tRNAs have two regions of fundamental functional importance: the anti-codon, which is responsible for specific mRNA codon recognition, and the 3' end, to which the tRNAs corresponding amino acid is attached (by aminoacyl-tRNA synthetases). tRNAs cope with the degeneracy of the genetic code in two manners: having more than one tRNA (with a specific anti-codon) for a particular amino acid; and 'wobble' base-pairing, i.e. permitting non-standard base-pairing at the 3rd anti-codon position. Lineage: Bacteria; Candidatus Collieribacteriota. The record is from RNAcentral. RNAcentral also lists the same sequence under 1 other name.